Molecule: small nuclear RNA, 18 nt
Filed under: Arabidopsis thaliana (thale cress)
Lineage: Eukaryota; Viridiplantae; Streptophyta; Magnoliopsida; Brassicales; Brassicaceae
Description: snRNA_00550
Source: RNAcentral
CCGCUCACGCCCGGUCGU